Molecule: non-coding RNA, 388 nt
Filed under: Thermincola sp.
Lineage: Bacteria; Bacillati; Bacillota; Clostridia; Eubacteriales; Thermincolaceae
Description: T-box sequence
Rfam family: T-box leader (bases 1-318)
About the family: Uncharged tRNA acts as the effector for transcription antitermination of genes in the T-box leader family.
Source: RNAcentral
GCAAAAGCGAUGAUAAAGAUAAGUAAGCUGAAUCAUUUUGUUUCCAGGGAAAAAGGGUCGGCGACUGAGAGCCCUUUAACAAAAGUUCGGCUGAAAUUCCCUUUUGAGCUGCAGGUUGAAGAAGCGUCAGCUUUUGUAGACUGAGCCGGGUCUUUCCCGUUAAAAGAAAGCGAGUAUCGGUUUUUUUAGUGGUCAGUUACCGGUAACCGGUAAGCAGCAUCAACUGAACGCUAAAUUGGCCCGUACUUUGAAAUGAGAGGGUUGCUUUUUUCAACCAACUUAGGGUGGUAACGCGGAAGUAAAACUUUCGUCCCUGGAGGGCGAAAGUUUUUUUAUUUAGCAACCAAUUUGGGUGGUACCGCGGAAGUCUACGACUUUCGUCCCAUUG